UGAGUCAAAACAUAAUCCCCAAAACAUUUAAUCACUCUAACAACAACAUUUUGCUCUAAUUUACUUUUUAGUAACUUUCAAAAGCACUACAAAACUGUAAUUGAUAUGAAAGGCUAUUAUAUUGCCCUUUAUCAACUAAAACCUGCAUGUUUACUUCAGUCAUUAGUACAUUUCAAAAUUAAUAACUAAUAUGUACAUGUUUUCAGAUAUGGAGUUUAGGAUAACACAUCUCUGUGCUCCUCCAAGUGUUGCAAACAGCAACUAAAACAGACGCAACACCUAAGAUGCUAAAGGUUGUGUCUGGGGACCCAGGCCCUCCACCUAUUUUGUCUGGAACAUUCAUCAGAGUAAUCACGUUGCCUUUUUGACUCCCUAUUCAGACUUGGGGGCAAAAAUAAACUUACAUCACUCUGUUUCCCAUGUCUAUCCUAUAAAUGCAAGAGCAGAUGCAACUGUCAGAAAAGAAAGAUUAAGAAACAAAUACACUCGGGGCACAGGGAACGCAAUGUUUCUUGAAGAACAUCUCACUCACAUUUGUUAAGGAGGAGCGAGGGGGGCAAAUAUUUAGAACUCCACAGUGGAGGCGACAAGUUAAAUUUGCUGAACAAACUCAUGCUCUGGUAACUGAUAAAGGCAUGAAUUUGAGAUUAGAUGGAGCAAAAGUAUCAGUAUAUUAACACAUUUAAUUGCACAUACACACAUUAAUGUUGACUAAUUACUGUAAUCAAUGACACACUGAAGGAUUACUGAUAUAUCAACAUGGGAUGGACAAGUGGUGUUUAUUUUAUCUUUUAUUUUAUUCUUGAGUGAAGCUCCUGUGCUGCUGCUUAGUGCUCUGCCACUGACUAUGGCCCUGGUUAUGAUUACAAUUUUAUCUUAAGCCACAUCUCGCCUGCAGCCCCGGUUAUCACCAUCACAAUUCUAUCUUUGUCAUAGCCAACAAGUAAUCACUGUAAUGAUAAGGACAUGAACCUGAUUAUCCUUAUCACUGCACUGUGUUGUUCCACCAAGACAGAAGACAGAGGAGUGUUUGAGCUGAGGGAGCCUAAGGUUGGCAUGCCACAGCUAAUGCUGCACCUCAACCCAGAUCCACUAUUUGACCCACAUAUGCCAGAGGCUACUAUUGACAUCGAAGCUGCACUUGUGCCUGAUACAUAUUAUUGGAACCGGUCUGCGCAAAGAUUGGUGCAGGGGAAGGGCGGGACCUGCCGACCUGUCGACCUGCCCAGACUCCCGCAGGACCUGGGAGUGUGAACACCUUGACUCGGCUCCUUCACCCAGCACACAUCACCACCAUUGCAGUGUGGAUCACGCCGCCUAACGCAUCCCCGAGAACCCCCAUCAUGCACUCCCACCCACCCGUCAAAAAUUCGGAAGCUGUCAUCUGAUUAAACUCAUUCAUAUCAUAUCUCCAGUAUCUCACAUUAACACUCGCAUCCGAAUCUACGUAAUAUACAUCCCGAGCUAAAUGUAUUAUCGCAGCAUAAAAAUAGAGUCGCGUGGAAAUAAUGCAGGCUAUAAAUAGACCCCGAGCAGAGUAGCUAAACGUUAUCAGUGGGGUCGUGCGCCUGGCAGCCCCGAGCAUGAACAGGUGUUCUCGGCAGGACGGAAGUGGAGGUGUUCAGGGUGGAUGUACUCAGGAAGAUUUUGCACUACAUUGGCCUGCCUUGGAUGAGUGGAGGCACGCAGACACCUCACACUUGUACUCCGGAAACCUUACACUUGCUAAUUUGCAAAGGCGUGCUCUAGACGGCCCCUCCAGGCUAUUCAAGGGCGAUUGCUUUAAUAUGGAAACGAUUUUUGCGAUACCCGAAUCAAUAACGCAAGAAAUGCAUGAUGAUGGGUUCCACAUGGAUUCAGUAUGGCAUAAUUCAUUGGCGUGCAUCUCCUUCAUACGCUGGCAGUGUAAUAAGUCUAUGGGCGUGUCUACGAUUUUGAGACGGGAGGACGGAUAAGGGAGGGGGCGGAGGAAGAUUAUGUCACCUCCAGCAGAAUAUUGUGUAUGCAAGUGUUACCUCCACACGAUAAUGCAAAACACAUUAGACGCACAAGUAAAGACAGAUUUUGUAAGGUCUUGUAUAUAUAUACACACACACACACACACACACACACACACAUUAUUUUUAUUCCUGCACACUUUCAGACACAUAAAUGAUUAAUACAUUGACGAAUAAGGAAAGGAGAGCUGAUAAUUCGUGUCAGUCUCUCCCUCUCUCCUCCUGUAUCUAUCAUUCUAUCUAUCCACACCUGUAGUUCUUUUCUUUUAAUUUUCUCUCUUUCAUUUUUCGCAUCUUCUCUUCCCUUGUUUGUUUGUUUGUCGGUUUACACUUACCUAUAAAUAUAUAAGUUACUGUUGAUCAUCUAUGUCUUCUAUUCGCCCUUCUUAUUUAUCUCAUAUCAUUAAAGAAAAAAAAUAAAACGGCAGUUGGUAAAGUAGUAAAAGAGUUAUAUGCCUGCUUUGUCCAUCUAUCUGUCCGUCUUUGAGUCUGUUUCCGUGUCUGUCUCUGUGUGUCUGUCUGUCUGCUUGUAUCGAUGCGUUUUCCUGACUGCAUUUAUUAGUCACCCUGCUUCUGCUUGCAUGCAUAACCGCAUGUCUAUUCCUGCCACGUGUGUCCUCGCCUCGAUCUCGGUCUCUCUCCACCUGUCCGGUUUCCUCUCUGCAUUUAUUUACCCGCCUACGUAUGCCCCCACCUUUACCUUACCUUCACUUCGUUCUUGCUUCAACUCUUAGGGGAGGAGGAGGAAAAGGAAUAGAAGACAUGGAGGGAAGACAGAGAAGAAAGUUGCCCGAGAUUUGAGAUAACUACCGCAAAUAUUCUAUCCAAUUCUCUGCUUUCUUCCUUUCCCUUCCUCAUACUCCACUCUAAUUAUUGUCAUCUUUUCUCUUCCUGUCUCAGUCCCUUUUCUCGGUUCUCUGCUUCCUUCCUAUUAAACGCCCUAAGCUGCUUUCUCUCUUUCCUUUUCUCAUUCUCCACUCUUUUUUCUUCCUGUUUCAAUCUCUUUUCUCACCUCUCUGCUUCCUAUUCAGCUCACUCAUCUGCUGUCUUCCUUUCCCUUCCUCAUUCUACACUCUAAUAUUUGUCUUCCUUUCUCUUCCUGUCUCAAUCCCUUUUCUCACUUCUCUGUUUCCUAUUCAACUCACUCAUCUGCUUUCUUCCUUUCCCUUCCUCAUACUCCGCUCGAAUAUUUGUCAUCUUUUCUCUUCCUGUUUCAGUCCCAUCUCUCACUUCUCUGCCUCCUUCCUUCCUCUUCCUUUCUCCUUUCUUUCGUCUAUUCUGCUUCCACGCAAAUAACCUGUGUUUUAUCGAACCAUAUAAAACCUACUGAACACUACACUUGCUUUCAUGUUAAUAUAUUUGUUAAAACCAUAUAUUUGAAACGAUUGAAAUAGCGAACGUCAUUUUUUUUUUUCUUUUUACCCGAUGGACGAUAUUAAGCACUGAAGGCGAUAUCUUUUCUUUUUUAUUUCAUGCGUUUUUUGUACCUAUUAAUACCUGCGGAUGUAACAAACUUUCGAAUGUUACGACUUUUUGUUGUUUUCCUCAAUUAAACCACUGGAGAGAGAGAGAGAGAGAGAGAGAGAGAGAGAGAGAGAGAGAGAGAGAGUUUACCGUAUAAUUGUCUCAGGUAGAAUCAUUAAGUGCCCACCUGUCUGUCGGUGUGCUGCAGGUAUGUGUGUGUGUAUGUAUAUAUGUACGUAUGUAUGUAUGUAUAUUUUGUGAUAUCGUACUUAUACAUGUUAACGAAGUGACUUAUUUUCGUUACAUUAGAAAAAUAUAAUAAAUGUACUCAUUUUUUUUCUCUUUAUGUUAACUAGUAUCCUUUUCUCUAACUAACUAACUAACUGUAACUAACUAUGGCUGGAUGGACGUUGUAUGUAUGCAUGUAUGUAUGUUUGUAUGUGUGUGCGUGUAUUUCUCCGUCUGCCUGUAUAGUAAUUGGUUAUGUCUCCUUGCAUGUGUAGCCGCUCCCGCAUGACGUAGCGACAAAAAGCGCCACACACUUGUUAUAACUGAUGCGAGCAGACUCCGCUCAGACCGCGCCUCACUAUACUCGCUGCAUUGGCUCCCCUUCUUUGGACAUCACUGGGGCACCUCACGGACAAUAAAGGGGGAGGGGAGGAGGGUUCGCACAAGUUAGAUAUUCUCCUUUUUUUGAUACCAAAGUAGAGCAGGCUUUGGAGAUGCACCCCAGUUAAUCACCGCUAUAGUGAACCGAUGUGGGAUCCAUCACCAUGUACUUCUUGCGUUAUUGAUUCGGGCAUCGCAAAAAUUAUCUCCAUAUUAAAGCAAGGAUGAGCCGUCUAGAGAACUCCUUAGUAAAUUAGCAAAUAGGUGUAGGCCUCCCCGAAUUAGUGUCAGAUGUCUGCGUCGGUUAUAAAAGGUUACUUCAGGAGGAGGCUAAAAAUAGGAUACCCCAGAAGAAUGUGUAUUUACGGUCACGAGACUAAGGUAAUCCAGAGGGAGUUGCCACAAACCAAACAUACAACUAUCAACACAAAAGGACACCUAACCCACGACACGUCUCAGAGAAAGCUAUAGGAUUCCGUCUCAUGAUAUUUUAACCGCGAAUCGUUCCAGUCAUUCUGUGGGCGCCGUAUUUCUGGCAUCAGGAUCUGGUUUGCGCCGCCGAGGUUCAGAGGAAGCAUGCAAUAUGUACACCGCCUUUUUCCGCACCUCCGCAAUGACCGGAGACGCAGGAGCUAGGAUUCUGUGUGCUGAUAUGUACCGUGAAUCUUUCCAGUCCGUAUUUCUGACAUCGGGAUCUGGUUUGCGCCGCCGAAGUUUAGAGGAAGCAUGCAAUAUGUACACCGCCUUUUUCUGCACCUCCGCGAUGAUCAAGAGGCGCGGGCGAGGAGCAGGCAAGGCAAGGCACUCGGGCACUCGGCGAUGCAGCACACGCUCGUCUCCUCGCCUGGCUAUGUCGUGCUGGCCUCAAGGCUGGCCCGUCCAUGCUCAACUACAUUCCUGACCUAAUAGAUGACAGGGACUCGCACUACGCUCCUCCCUAUUGCACCGACAAGUAUAGGGAUCAGUUAACAGCUAUCAUGGAGAAACGUACAGGUGGGAAAGUGAUCCGUGGUGUUGAGUGUUCCUCCCGUGUUUCAUAGCAUUGCAGGAGCAGCGCCGAGGACCGAGCCGAGGGGAGAGGGAUGUCCCACAACAAGGUCGCUCCCUCUGUGGGCAGUCCGUGUGGAGGCGUCGUCAGAAUGCUGAGGACUAGUUAGUAAUACUGGCGGGGCGACAUUGUAAACCAACAGCCCCUGGACUCACAUGCUGAUGGGAAACGCAGCAUGAAAAAUCGCUCGAGACCAAUAACGACAACCUGUAAUACGCUACAUGUUGUUGUGGCUUAAUUUAGACAUAGUGAGGUUAGGAUGAGCUCAAGCAACGACGGCCUCUUUUGGUUGGGAUGGUUAUAACUGCAUUCCUCCCUCUCUCUCUACCUAUCCUUCUCUAUCUAUCUAUCUAUCUAUCUAUUUAUCUAUCUAUCUAUCUAUCUACAGCAAGGGAGGCAGCUCAAGGGCAAAAAAUAGAAUCAACAACAAAAAGUUCAUUAAACGCUGCCACGACAAAAUAAAAACAAAGAAGAGAGAACGAGAAAAAUGAGAAAGGACGAGAGAACGGAAGAAAGGUCUGUUUUGGAUUCCUAUCUCAUGCUGCAAAAAGCUACUAACCAUAAUACUGAAUAAAGACUUUUUUUG
Molecule: long non-coding RNA, 5704 nt
Organism: Eriocheir sinensis (Chinese mitten crab)
Lineage: Eukaryota; Metazoa; Arthropoda; Malacostraca; Decapoda; Varunidae
Exons: 2
Source: RefSeq, a predicted model, not a curated record